AAUACAUGAUAGUAUCUGAUUUAUCGAUUUUAUGAUUUAAAUGCAUAUAUUGCUGCCUUAUGUGACUAUUGUUAAAUUAGAAAACUGAGAUAUGAUUGUAUUCCCUGAUGCAUGUUUGUUUGUUUAUGUGAGUACGGUUGAUUUGGAAAAUGGAGAUUAAGGAAAAACGAAAAAAUUAUGUGAUUAAGUGAAUGGAUGAAACGACAGCCUUAUUGGAUAUCCUAGGAGAUGAUGGAUGGAUCAGGUACAAUAGAGAACCCUAUCGUGAACGUUGUCUCAUACCA
Molecule: long non-coding RNA, 284 nt
Filed under: Carica papaya (papaya)
Lineage: Eukaryota; Viridiplantae; Streptophyta; Magnoliopsida; Brassicales; Caricaceae
Description: long non-coding RNA (CPAP_LNC009815)
Source: RNAcentral